RNAcentral lists this small RNA (739 nucleotides) under Pan troglodytes (chimpanzee). RNAcentral's name for it is "retained intron". The record is from RNAcentral. Lineage: Eukaryota; Metazoa; Chordata; Mammalia; Primates; Hominidae.
GCGGAGCUGCGGAGGCAGCCAUGGUCGGGGCGCUGUGCGGCUGCUGGUUCCGCCUGGGCGGGGCCCGCGCGCUCAUCCCGUUCGGCCCGCUCACCACGCGCAGCGCCAUGACCAGCAAGGGUCCCGAGGAGGAGCACCCAUCGGUGACGCUCUUCCGCCAGUACCUGCGCAUCCGCACCGUCCAGCCCAAGCCUGACUAUGGUGAGAAGACGGUGGCUCCAGAGCCUGUGACGGGGCCUAAGGGACGGGGACUGUGCUCUAAACCAGCCUCCAACCCCUGUCACCCAGCUGAGCCCCACUCUGCUGUCCCAAAUGGCUCCCCAACCCCUCCAGCCAUUCCCCAAGUAAAUAGACUGAGGCAGCCCCUCCAGGUUAGGGAGGAACCCUUUCCCCAGAGACUCUGCUGCUGACCAAGGUUACUCCUGGCAGCUGGUUAAAGAAAAACUUCACCUCACUCUCCAGGGUAGGAGUGGUGGGGGAAGCCUGAGGCAGCCACAGGGAAAGGAGAGGCCCUCCAGAAGCCACUGGGGCUGGACAAAGGCCACAGCCUUUAGGGAGUCAAGCUUGGUGGCUAGGGCCUGGGAGGUGGCUCCUGCCUGUUAUCCCAGCACUUCAGGAGGUUGAGGCUGGCAGAUUGCUUGGGCCCAGGAGUUCAAGACUAGCUUGAGCAACAUGGCAAGACUCUGUCUCUACAGAAAAAAUACAAAAAUUAGUCAGGAAUGGUGGCACACCUGUAGUC